This 20-nucleotide small nuclear RNA is filed under the name Arabidopsis thaliana (thale cress). Its description in RNAcentral is "snRNA_06139". The record is from RNAcentral. Lineage: Eukaryota; Viridiplantae; Streptophyta; Magnoliopsida; Brassicales; Brassicaceae.
UAUAUGAAAGAAGCUUAACU